GCUUACGGCCACCACCGCCUGGUUCACGCCGAUCUCUUUGAUCUCGGAAGCUAAGGUAGGUUGGGCCUGGUUAGUACUUGGAUGGGAGACCGCCUGGGAAUACCAGGUGCUGUAAAGC
This 118-nucleotide ribosomal RNA is filed under the name Scophthalmus maximus (turbot). Lineage: Eukaryota; Metazoa; Chordata; Actinopteri; Pleuronectiformes; Scophthalmidae. The record is from RNAcentral.